UAAAAGGGACCUCUCCUCAAAAGGAACUGGA
Molecule: non-coding RNA, 31 nt
Filed under: Mus musculus (house mouse)
Lineage: Eukaryota; Metazoa; Chordata; Mammalia; Rodentia; Muridae
Source: RNAcentral